CCAAUAGCGUAUAUUAAAGUUGUUGCAGUUAAAAAGCUCGUAGUUGAAUUUCGGGACCAAUCUGCCGGUCGUGCCUCCGGUACGCACUGGUUUUAUUGGUUUCUCCCUUCUGACGAACCAUGAUGUCAUUAAUUUGGUGUCAUGGGGAAUCAGGACUGUUACUUUGAAAAAAUUAGAGUGUUUAUAGCAGGCUCACGCUUGAAUACAUUAGCAUGGAAUAAUGAAAUAGGACGUUUGACCCUAUUUUGUUGGUUUCUAGGAUCGACGUAAUGAUUAAUAGGGAUAGUUGAGGGCAUUAGUAUUCAAUUGUCAGAGGUGAAAUUCUUGGAUUUAUUGAAGACUAACUACUGCGAAAGCAUUUGCCAAGGAUGUUUUCAUUAAUCAAGAACGAAAGUUAGGGGAUCGAAGACGAUCAGAUACCGUCGUAGUCUUAACCAUAACUAUGCCGACUAGGGAUCGGAUGAUGUUAAUUUUUUAAUGACUCAUUCGGCGCCUUACG
This 499-nucleotide unclassified non-coding RNA is filed under the name uncultured Glomus. Its description in RNAcentral is "SSU rRNA". It matches the Rfam family "Eukaryotic small subunit ribosomal RNA", at positions 591 to 1092 of the family's 1831-position model. Lineage: Eukaryota; Fungi; Glomeromycota; Glomeromycetes; Glomerales; Glomeraceae. The record is from RNAcentral.